This 630-nucleotide long non-coding RNA is filed under the name Elaeis guineensis (African oil palm). RNAcentral describes it as "long non-coding RNA (EGUI_LNC073419)". The record is from RNAcentral. Lineage: Eukaryota; Viridiplantae; Streptophyta; Magnoliopsida; Arecales; Arecaceae.
GUUCCAGAAAAUGGUGCGAAUUCUAAAUCUGGCAGAUUUUUAUAGUAGCAUGACAACCAAUUCUAAAUCUAUUUUAAAUGCCAAGCUAAGAUCCGAAUUGAAGACUAAAAUAUCAUCUAACACCCCUCCAUUAAGAACAGUUUUACCAUGAACGAGAUUACCAUCACCAUUACCCAUUGCCAUUUUCUUUCGAUCCUGCUAUCCAUAUUUACUAGCUUACGACCAUGCAGAUUUCCAGGAAAGUUGUUCCAUUUCACUUGAUGACACCUAUAAAGUUUCCACAUCCCAAGAAAUAAUGAAAAAUUUCCUUUACGUAAGCUUCUUUACCCACUCAUGAUCCAUCAUGUGCAAGACCUCGUUCCAUAAUCCACUACAUUUACAUAAACUUUCCUUUGAAGGUAGCAUAGCUUUACCCUACCCAUUUCUCACUGCUAAUGAUCAGCAAAUUUGCAGCAAUGCUUCCAAAAAUACCCUGCAAGAACCUUUCUAUUUUUCUGAAAAGGCAGUAACUAGCAACAGGAAUCUAAAAAUACAUCUAAUGCAACAGCACAAACCCUUAAUCCAGACUGGAAACUAGCUAUCAGUUUUCAGUCCAAUCAAUCCCAAAAGCUUAAGCUGAUAAGGAAGGGG